AUUGAACGUUGGCGGCAGGCCUAAUACAUGCAAGUCGAGCGGAAACGAUGGGAGCUUGCUCUCAGGCGUCGAGCGGCGGACGGGUGAGUAACGCGUAGGAAUCUACCCAGUAGCGGGGGAUAGCCCGAGGAAACUCGGAUUAAUACCGCAUACGCCCCACGGGGGAAAGGCCGGGAUCUUCGGACCGGUCACUAUUGGAGGAGCCUGCGUAGGAUUAGCUUGUUGGUGAGGUAAAGGCUCACCAAGGCUACGAUCCUUAGCUGGUCUGAGAGGACGAUCAGCCACACUGGAACUGAGACACGGUCCAGACUCCUACGGGAGGCAGCAGUAGGGAAUAUUGUGCAAUGGGCGAAAGCCUGACACAGCCAUGCCGCGUGUGUGAAGAAGGCCCUAGGGUUGUAAAGCACUUUCAGUAGGGAGGAAUUAGUAAGGGUUAAUAACUCUGCGAAAUGACGUUACCUACAGAAGAAGCACCGGCAAACUCCGUGCCAGCAGCCGCGGUAAUACGGAAGGUGCGAACGUUAAUCGGAAUUACUGGGCGUAAAGCGCGCGUAGGUGGUUUAUUAAGUGGGAUGUGAAAGCCCCGGGCUUAACCUGGGAACUGCAUUCCAAACUGAUGAACUAGAGUACGAUAGAGGGGGGUAGAAUUCAGAGUGUAGCGGUGAAAUGCGUAGAUAUUCUGAGGAAUACCGGUGGCGAAGGCGGCCCCCUGGAUUGAUACUGACACUGAGGUGCGAAAGCGUGGGGAGCAAACAGGAUUAGAUACCCUGGUAGUCCACGCCGUAAACGAUGUCUACUAGCCGUUGGGAGGCUUGACCUCUUAGUGGCGAAGCUAACGCGAUAAGUAGACCGCCUGGGGAGUACGGUCGCAAGAUUAAAACUCAAAUGAAUUGACGGGGGCCCGCACAAGCGGUGGAGCAUGUGGUUUAAUUCGAUGCAACGCGAAAAACCUUACCAGGCCUUGACAUCCUGAGAAUUCGGUAGAGAUACCUUAGUGCCUUCGGGAACUCAGUGACAGGUGUUGCAUGGCUGUCGUCAGCUCGUGUCGUGAGAUGUUGGGUUAAGUCCCGUAACGAGCGCAACCCUUAUCCUUAUUUGCCAGCACAUUAUGGUGGGAACUUUAAGGGGACUGCCGGUGACAAACCGGAGGAAGGAGAGGAUGAUGUCAAGUCAUCAUGGCCCUUACGGCCUGGGCUACACACGUGCUACAAUGGACAGUACAGAGGGCCGCAAUGCCGCGAGGUGGAGCAAAUCCCAAAAAACUGUUCGUAGUCCGGAUCGGAGUCUGCAACUCGACUCCGUGAAGUCGGAAUCGCUAGUAAUCGCGAAUCAGCAUGUCGCGGUGAAUACGUUCCCGGGCCUUGUACACACCGCCCGUCACAUCAUGGGAGUGGGCUGCAAAAGAAGCGGCUAGUCUAACCUUCGGGAGGACGGUCACCACUUUGUGGUUCAUGACUGGGAUGAAGUCGUAACAAGGUAGCCGUAGGGGAACCUGCGGCUGGAUCACCUCCUUAACGAAAGUAUCCGCUGAUGAGUACUCACAACCUAUUGUAUGUUUCCGCUGUCUUUGUUCUUAGCAACCGCUACAAGCGUUUGUUCUAAGCGAGCAUUUUAGACAGCAAUUAGAGCUAGUAACGAGAAACUAGAAGUCAGAAGAAAGCCGGCAACCGCCAGAGCAGUCUUCUGACUUCUAGUCUCUGGACUAGAAAGAAAACAGUUGGAAGCCCCAACUGGUGUUUCGUCCUUAGGGAUCGAAGCCGCUCUUUAAAAAUUUGGAAAGUGAUAAAGUAAGAUUUCUAAGUAAAAUUAGAAAUCGUCUGUAAAGACAUCCGCAAAUGAGAUUGUGUUCUUAUUCCAAUCCUAGCGAGCUCAAACGCGCAAAGGUUGGUCCGUCUAAGAAUACUAAUUCACAUUUGUUCAAUUUAUAUAAAUUUCAAGCGUUAUCCGGUGAAAAACAUGUAGUUUGAAAAGACUCUUUUGAGUUUGCUCAAGUUAUAUGGUCAAGCGAAUAAGCGCAUAUGGUGGAUGCCUAGGCAGUUGGAGGCGAUGAAGGACGUUGUAGUCUGCGAAAAGCUUGGGGGAGGUGACAAACAACCGUUAUAUCCCAAGAUGU
Molecule: ribosomal RNA, 2113 nt
Filed under: uncultured marine bacterium
Lineage: Bacteria
Description: bacterial SSU rRNA
Rfam family: Bacterial small subunit ribosomal RNA (bases 1-1514)
Source: RNAcentral